RNAcentral lists this ribosomal RNA (253 nucleotides) under uncultured bacterium. RNAcentral describes it as "partial 16S ribosomal RNA". It matches the Rfam family "Bacterial small subunit ribosomal RNA", at positions 524 to 776 of the family's 1533-position model. The record is from RNAcentral.
UACAGAGGGGGCAAGCGUUGUUCGGAAUUACUGGGCGUAAAGGGAGCGUAGGCGGGUUUUUAAGUCAGGUGUUUAAUCCCGGGGCCCAACCCCGGACCGGCACUUGAAACUGGGAAUCUUGAAUAGUGGAGAGGUCAGUGGAAUUGGGGGUGUAGCGGUGGAAUGCGUAGAGAUCCCCAAGAACACCAGUUGCGAAGGCGGCUGACUGGACACAUAUUGACGCUGAGGUGCGAAAGCGUGGGGAGCAAACAGG